AACACUACGUGGGGGUUUGAUCCAGUUGCAUUGAUGAUGCAGAGAUUCAAAAUUUUAUUAUUUUUAGUGUUU
RNAcentral lists this transfer RNA (72 nucleotides) under Gregariella coralliophaga. Its description in RNAcentral is "tRNA-Ile". Lineage: Eukaryota; Metazoa; Mollusca; Bivalvia; Mytilida; Mytilidae. The record is from RNAcentral.